This 253-nucleotide ribosomal RNA is filed under the name uncultured bacterium. Its description in RNAcentral is "partial 16S ribosomal RNA". It matches the Rfam family "Bacterial small subunit ribosomal RNA", at positions 524 to 776 of the family's 1533-position model. The record is from RNAcentral.
UACGGAGGGUGCGAGCGUUGUCCGGAAUCACUGGGCGUAAAGGGCGCGUAGGCGGCUCAUGAAGGCUGUGGUGAAAGUCCGGGGCUCAACCUCGGAUCGGCCGUGGCGACUCGUGGGCUGGAGCACUGUAGAGGCGGGUGGAAUUCCGGGUGUAGCGGUGGAAUGCGCAGAUAUCAGGAGGAACACCGAUGGCGAAGGCAGCUCGCUGGGACGGUACUGACGCUGAGGCGCGAAAGCGUGGGGAGCGAACAGG